This 440-nucleotide ribosomal RNA is filed under the name uncultured bacterium. Its description in RNAcentral is "partial 16S ribosomal RNA". It matches the Rfam family "Bacterial small subunit ribosomal RNA", at positions 338 to 795 of the family's 1533-position model. The record is from RNAcentral.
CCUACGGGAGGCAGCAGUGGGGAAUAUUGCACAAUGGGGGGAACCCUGAUGCAGCAACGCCGCGUGGGUGAAGAAGUACUCCGGUAUGUAAAGCCCUGUCAGCAGGGAAGAAAAUGACGGUACCUGACCAAGAAGCCCCGGCUAACUACGUGCCAGCAGCCGCGGUAAUACGUAGGGGGCAAGCGUUAUCCGGAUUUACUGGGUGUAAAGGGAGCGUAGACGGCAAGGCAAGUCUGGAGUGAAAGCCCGGGGCCCAACCACGGGACUGCUUUGGAAACUGCGUUGCUGGAGUGCAGGAGGGGCAAGCGGAAUUCCUAGUGUAGCGGUGAAAUGCGUAGAUAUUAGGAGGAACACCGGUGGCGAAGGCGGCUUACUGGACUGCAACUGACGUUGAGGCUCGAAGGCGUGGGGAGCAAACAGGAUUAGAUACCCCUGUAGUC